This 250-nucleotide ribosomal RNA is filed under the name uncultured Gardnerella sp. Its description in RNAcentral is "partial 16S ribosomal RNA". It matches the Rfam family "Bacterial small subunit ribosomal RNA", at positions 103 to 355 of the family's 1533-position model. The record is from RNAcentral. Lineage: Bacteria; Bacillati; Actinomycetota; Actinomycetes; Bifidobacteriales; Bifidobacteriaceae.
CGGGUGAGUAAUGCGUGACCAACCUGCCCCAUGCUCCAGAAUAGCUCUUGGAAACGGGUGGUAAUGCUGGAUGCUCCAACUUGACGCAUGUCUUGUUGGGAAAGUGUUUAGUGGCAUGGGAUGGGGUCGCGUCCUAUCAGCUUGUAGGCGGGGUAAUGGCCCACCUAGGCUUCGACGGGUAGCCGGCCUGAGAGGGCGGACGGCCACAUUGGACUGAGAUACGGCCCAGACUCCUACGGGAGGCAGCAGC